RNAcentral lists this ribosomal RNA (616 nucleotides) under uncultured Scytalidium. RNAcentral describes it as "eukaryotic LSU rRNA". The stretch from base 239 to 392 matches the Rfam family "5.8S ribosomal RNA". Lineage: Eukaryota; Fungi; Ascomycota. The record is from RNAcentral.
GGAAGUAAAAGUCGUAACAAGGUCUCCGUUGGUGAACCAGCGGAGGGAUCAUUACAGAGUUACACAACUCACCAAACCAUUGUGAACCGACCCUUCUGUUGCUUCGGCGGGAGGCGCCUCGGCGCCCCUCGGCCGAUCCCCCCGGCCCCCGCGGCGUGGGGGGAGGCUCCCGCCGGAGGAAUACCCCAAACCCUUUGCAGCACAUGGCCUCUCUGAGUUUAUGUACUGAAUAAGUCAAAACUUCCAACAACGGAUCUCUUGGUUCUGGCAUCGAUGAAGAACGCAGCGAAAUGCGAUAAGUAAUGUGAAUUGCAGAAUUCAGUGAAUCAUCGAAUCUUUGAACGCACAUUGCGCCCGCCGGUAUUCCGGCGGGCAUGCCUGUUCGAGCGUCAUUUCAACCAUCAAGCCCUGGGCUUGUGUUGGGGACCUGCGGCUGCCGCAGGCCCUGAAAUGCAGUGGCGGGCUCGCAAGACACACCGAGCGUAGUAGCUUACAACCUCGCUUUGGGAGUGCUGCGGGUGCUGGCCGUAAAGCGACCUUUGCGUCUUUAGCACUAGGUUGACCUCGGAUCAGGUAGGAGGACCCGCUGAACUUAAGCAUAUUAGUCAGCGGAGGA